GGCAACUAGCCAUAGGCACUGCUAUUUGGUUCAGAGAAGCACCAAUUAAUUCGACUGCUCUCUGAUCCACUUGAAGAACUCAGCUGGAAAUCAAACAAAGCCAACCUAAAAAAAAACGUCUAACACUAGAGUAUUCCUGUAUCCUGGAGAAGGCAGCACUCGAGCCACCAUCUUGGAAGUGAAGAUCAGGCCCUCAGCAGACACAAAACCUGCCAGUGCCAUGAUCUUGGAUUUUUCAACCUGCAGGACUAUUCAAUGAAAUUCCAAUGAAAAUCUCAAGUUAUUAUGUGAAUAUUGAAAAACGAACCCUAAAGUUUAUAUGGAGAGCCAAAAAAUGCAAAAGAGCCAGCACAUAUUGAAAGAGAAGAACAAAGUCAGAAGAU
This 383-nucleotide long non-coding RNA is filed under the name Homo sapiens (human). RNAcentral's name for it is "HSALNT0319052". Lineage: Eukaryota; Metazoa; Chordata; Mammalia; Primates; Hominidae. The record is from RNAcentral.